GACACGGUGGCAUAGUGGUUAGCACUUUCGCCUCACAACAAGAAGGUCAUGGGUUCGAUUCCGGCCUGGGGCC
Gymnothorax javanicus (giant moray) is the source of this 73-nucleotide non-coding RNA. The record is from the annotation of a GenBank genome assembly. NCBI's taxonomy places the organism in Eukaryota, Metazoa, Chordata, Actinopteri, Anguilliformes, Muraenidae.